CUAUUACAGCCCAGCGUCUACAUGUCUUCCAAAUUAGAUAAAGAUGUGCGUUUGUUUAAUAUUUUUAAAAGCCUCUCCCCAGCAUUAUUUUGGAUAUUGUUUGCAAACUUGAUCAGCCAUGUAAGACAUUAAUUGCUGGAGACCAAUUUCCGAAUAGAAAGUCGGGUUGGCGCCUGUCUAAAGGUUUUCAGUUAUGAAUACGAAUAGGGCUUAAAGGUGAAGUAAGGACGGUUAGCUGAUAGUAGAGUGUAGAGUAUGAACAUAUCCUUAGAAACCUAAGUAAUUCGAGAGAUAAAGGAAGAACCUAGUCAGCCAGUGCGGAGCCCGGUUUCUCUGCCGCCAUUGGGCGCUUUCUCAGAACAAUGAAUAUCCAGUGCAGUGCAGAUACAACAUAACAAGUUUUAAAUCGUAUUUAGAAGCUUCCCAAAAGAUAUUGGGGAACUUAGGAUCUAAUACUCUAAAGAUGUGGGAGUUCCUGACUUUAUCUAAAACGCAUUGGAUAUUAGAAUUACGAAAUGGCUCAUUGGUUCAAACCACGAGUGGAGCCGAGUGUUUAGACAGCUAUUCGCACAUUUGUGAAGCUUGCUCAAGCAAAAAUGCGCCCGACCUCCUGGGGGUUCAAACACAAAGACUCAAAUCGACCUUCUGAUGACCUCCCGGGUUUGCAUGCGGCGAUGGAAUCCCAAGCUCAGACAUGUGGUUCGAAGAGAGACGCAUUUCUAAAAGGAGAACGCCAGACAGCAUGCAUCCUCGCAUUAGUCGCGUCAUAUGCGCAAAGAUUAGUUGUCUAUCUCGUUACACUGAAAAAAUAUAAGCCGAAACGAUGCGAGAACAGCUCUAGUGCGCUUUUUGGCACAAGGGACAAAACUGAUCUGUUCUGCAAAAUAUCUGUUCCGCAGCCCGUUUGUUUGCUGGCCAGGAAGAUGUUAGACCCCUCGGUUGCUGGGAAAAAAUCGGUCCCAAAUGGUUCUGCUGGCAAAUUUGUGGAGUCAAACUAGUUGUGCUGCGAAUUUUUUUUGGGUGUGCUGGAGCGGAUGCUUGGAAAAAAAUUGUCGCGAUUGGUUUUACGGGCAAUAUUCAUGGGCUAAAAUGCCUAACCAAUGCUGGCUGGGAAAAAAAGGAUUUGUCCCUCCUGGGAAAAAGGAACAGAUAACGUUUUCCAAGCAACUUCUAAAAUGGAUAGUUUCGGCAUCAGAACAUAUUCGAACGAUAAAAUCAUUUUUGGAGUUACGUCUUUGCUUUUUCAAAGCUUAGCAAACGAAACGGUUAGUUCAACAAGUGAAAAUAGCCAUAAAGCAUAUUAUUAUAGUCAAAUCUAUUGCACCUAAGCCGCUUUUGCACUGCCCGGGUCUUGUCAGUUUUUAGAUAUACUCUAAAAAAGAAAUACUUUUUUACACGAGUCUUUCAGAGUUAAUCAUUGCGAGAAUGAGGAAAGUGCGAGAAACUUGAUGUAAAAACUUGAAAUGGCCGAAAUUUUCCCUCUAGCAGAGGUAUAUUUUCUUUGUAUUUCGGGUUUGCCCAAGGAAGCCGAGAUUGCGGCCAAUACCGAAAAAAGGCAUCCUUUGCCUUAAUUUGACAAGACAAAAUAAAUAAACGAUAUUUCUAGAUUUUCCAAAUCAAUGUUAGGAUCCGCAGCAUUGUCGGAAUACAAACGGCAGACUGUCAGGACGACUUCCUCGCCAUUAGAAUCAUGCGCGCAUGCGCGUAGCAAAGGUUGAAGACCCUCCGUGCGUCUUUGCACCAACCUUUCGGUGUGUGUUAGUUAAUUCAUAAUUAAUGAUUAUCUUAAAUUGCUGCUAGCAAGAUAGUCGACUCGUACGCUCUCAAUGUGAUGGGUUAACCUUGAAUCUUUACGUUGAAGCCUGGUAAAACUCCUUUCAGCCUAGGCUGGAUGGAAAAUAAUGCAACACGUGGCCGGUACUUCUCUAGGGCUUCGGAUACAUGAUGCUGUGUUUGUUUUUUGUGAUGGGAGUUGCCCGUGAUGUAUUGGUGAGGUAGAGGUAGUUUUAUGCAGGGGUCUUUUUUUUCCAUGGUUGUUUUUAUUAUUACGAUUAGUUAAGUUUUCUUGGAGAGAAAGGCAGGGCCCAUUGCGAUCGCACAUCGUCUGUCAGCAUGUAUACAACCACAGAAUAAAGCUCAGGUUUUUGUGGUGUGAUCUAGCAAUAAUGUAAUAGGUCAACGACAUCACAUCUGCAAUAACGUUUCGCUGAAUCAAGUUUCUCUUGGAUAGUCUUGCAGGAUCAUCUUAGCUCAGUAUAAACGCGACACUCUGUCUUGUUAAUGCAGCGCUGAUGCCUCGUAUCAGAAAACUCCAGAAAACUCUGAAGUGAGGCCCCUGGGGGGGGGGGGGGGGAAUAGUUAAAUUUUGCAACCACAAACCCAGUGGGCGGGUAAAAAGGAAGCUUACAAUAAACUAAUGAAACCCGCAAGCUCAAAACGUAACUGAACGAGAAAAUUUACGCAUCUCGUUGACAGAACACACAGUUGCACGAACAGGUUCCGUUGAACGCGAAAAAGCAUGCGUACCCAAAAGUGGGUCUCUUGGUAUUAAACUAUAUUAAAAAUUAUGAUUCAAAUUUUAUUCUAAAUUGUGUUUAAGAUUAAACUCAGUAAAGAAUCCUCUAGAGAA
Long non-coding RNA from Nematostella vectensis (starlet sea anemone), 2629 nucleotides. RefSeq lists it as uncharacterized. The transcript is spliced from 2 exons. The record is from RefSeq and is a predicted model, not a curated record. Lineage: Eukaryota; Metazoa; Cnidaria; Anthozoa; Actiniaria; Edwardsiidae.